GCUAGUGUAGCUAACGUAAAGCAUAACACUGAAGA
Molecule: transfer RNA, 35 nt
Filed under: Poecilia formosa (Amazon molly)
Lineage: Eukaryota; Metazoa; Chordata; Actinopteri; Cyprinodontiformes; Poeciliidae
Description: partial tRNA-Phe
Source: RNAcentral